AGGCGGCCCUGGCCGCUCAGGGUGCUGUAGAUGUUGGUGAAGGACAUGCCUGUGGGCACUCGCUGCUUGCCUGCGGGACGCAGGUCCGGCUGGCAGCUGCUUAGCGAGAUGGUGGGCGUCGAGUGGUGCUCUUUGAAGGUUCUGAAACUCCUUCUCCUCCUCUUUGAGGACCUCCAGCUGCUUCAGUACUGAGUCUUGUUGGAAUUCACCCCGGUCCAUCUACAACCCAGAAACGGCCGCUCAGUGGAUUGGAGAUGAGGAGACUGAGGCACAGAGAAGUCCAUGCUCUCCACGCCCUUGCCUGCUGCUGCUACUCCAAGGUUCUUUGAAAGCUGGGACUACAUCUUCGAGUCUCCCAGAACACCAAGUGCAAUGUAAUAGACGGACAACUCAUUGUUGGCUGAGAGUAGGUGUCUGACC
Prionailurus viverrinus (fishing cat) is the source of this 420-nucleotide long non-coding RNA. RefSeq lists it as uncharacterized. The transcript has 4 exons. Lineage: Eukaryota; Metazoa; Chordata; Mammalia; Carnivora; Felidae. The record is from RefSeq and is a predicted model, not a curated record.